AUUCCAGCUCCAAUAGCGUAUGUUAAAGUUGUUGCGGCUAAAAAGCUCGUAGUUGGAUUUCUAGAUGAGAGGAGUGGUCCACUCUAUGAGUGUGUAUCUACUUCCGCUCGUCUAUCCGCUCUGCAAACGUGUCUGCGCUUGACUGCGUGGCGCGGAGGUAGGGCCUUUUACUUUGAGGAAAUUAGAGUGUUCACGGCAGGCAAUCGCCUUGAAUAUAUUAGCAUGGAAUAAUAACAUAGGAUCUUGGUUCUAUUUUGUUGGUUUCUAGGGCUAAGAUAAUGAUUAAUAGGGACAAUUGGGGGCAUUCGUAUCGCGGUGUCAGAGGUGGAAUUCUUGGAUUACUGCGCGACGAACUACUGCGAAAGCAUUUGCCAAGGAUGUUUUCAUCA
RNAcentral lists this ribosomal RNA (389 nucleotides) under Syndiniales sp. Its description in RNAcentral is "partial small subunit ribosomal RNA". It matches the Rfam family "Eukaryotic small subunit ribosomal RNA", at positions 582 to 975 of the family's 1831-position model. Lineage: Eukaryota; Dinophyceae; Syndiniales. The record is from RNAcentral.